CAGGGGCUAAGAGGAUGGAUCCUCAUUGUGCCACAAUAUGAGAUACUCUACGUAAUCUGUUUAUACAAUUUAAAAAUUUAUUAGUUCAAACAUAUCAAUAUAUAUAUAAAUUUAUUAAAUAAUAUUUUAAGUUAUUAUCGUGAUUUGUCGAGAUCUAAGAUCUAAGUAAUCAUCAGUCCUCCUAGACUGGUCUGUAGCCUCCCAUAUCUGUAGCUGUCCUGAUGC
This 225-nucleotide long non-coding RNA is filed under the name Elaeis guineensis (African oil palm). Its description in RNAcentral is "long non-coding RNA (EGUI_LNC040962)". The record is from RNAcentral. Lineage: Eukaryota; Viridiplantae; Streptophyta; Magnoliopsida; Arecales; Arecaceae.